This 340-nucleotide ribosomal RNA is filed under the name uncultured bacterium. Its description in RNAcentral is "bacterial SSU rRNA". It matches the Rfam family "Bacterial small subunit ribosomal RNA", at positions 35 to 392 of the family's 1533-position model. The record is from RNAcentral.
GCUGGCGGGGUGCCUAAUACAUGCAAGCUUAGCGGGAGGGCGGUCUUCUGACUGGUGGCGAGGGGCGAACGGGAGAGUAACGUGUAUGAACAUACCCCCCACUGAGGGAUAUACCCCCAAAAGGCUGGAUAAAACCCCAUGUGAUCUUCGCAUUCGAGCUUUAUGCGCUUUGGCAACUUCCGCGAGAAUUAUCUAGUUGGUGAGGUAAAAGCUUACCAAGGGUACAAGCUAAAACUGGUCAGAGAGGAUGAUCAGUCUAACGGACACUGAGCAACUGCCCAAACUCCUAUCGGAGGCAACAUCUCCGAAUUUUCCACAAUGGGCGAAAGCCGGAUGGAGC